UUUCCGUAGGUGAACCUGCGGAAGGAUCACUAAAGAGAACUGCCUUCGGGCUAAUCUCCCACCCUUUGUUUACAUUACCUUUGUUGCUUUGGCAGGCCCGUCCUCGGACCGCUGGCUUCGGCUAGUCCGUGCCUGCCAGAGGACCCCAAAACCUGAAUGUCAGUGUCGUCUGAGUAUCAUAUAAUAAGUUAAAACUUUCAACAACGGAUCUCUUGGUUCUGGCAUCGAUGAAGAAGCAGC
This 240-nucleotide unclassified non-coding RNA is filed under the name uncultured fungus. RNAcentral describes it as "sequence contains ITS1, 5.8S rRNA gene". Lineage: Eukaryota; Fungi. The record is from RNAcentral.